Long non-coding RNA from Cucurbita maxima (winter squash), 1785 nucleotides. RefSeq lists it as uncharacterized. The record is from RefSeq and is a predicted model, not a curated record. Lineage: Eukaryota; Viridiplantae; Streptophyta; Magnoliopsida; Cucurbitales; Cucurbitaceae. The transcript is spliced from 5 exons.
GGAGACGAUUGAGAGGAACUUUGCAAGAGAGACUUUGUAGUGUGAGAGUAGGAGAGAUACACUUGUAAGCACCUUGGUUAUAGUGAUUGGCUACCACUCGUGGAUGUAGGAAAAUUUCUCCUUUUCAAACCACAUAAACCUUUGAGUCACUUUGUUUAAUUUCUGUUAUGGGUGUGUGAGUGCGAUCGAUCUUGUUUCUGCUUUCGCUACAACAAUUGGGUAUCAAAAACAUAUUUGGUUAUGACAUUUUGUGUUGAGAUAUGAUUCAAAGUAUUCAAAACUGAGAUAUGGUUUAAAGUAUUGAGAUAUGGUUCAAAGUAUUCAAAGUACCAAGAUUUUAGGAGAUUGUCAGUACAUUUGAAUUUAUCUAGGAUUUCCAUACUUUUGAAUUUAUCUAGGAUUUCCAUACUUUACUAUUUCUAGUUAGUGUAUAAGCCUAUAAAUAUUGAAAUUGUGUAACUCUUAAAGUAAUUGAGUGAGAAAACAAUAAUAAAACCAUCUUUUAUCUAUUUUAUCUUUUUCUAUCUCUUUCACUAUCCCUUUCCCAACAUUUUGCACAACAAGCAGAGAGCAUUUUCUGUUGUAGCUUUUUAGACCCAACAUGUGGUAUCAGAGCAUUUUGGUUGUAGCUUUGGAUACAACAAGUAGUAUCAUAGCAUUGUUUGUUGUAGCAUUCCACUACAACAAUUGGGUAUCAAAGCAUUUUUGGUUGUAGCAUUCUGCUGCAACAAUUGGAUAUCAGAGCUUACAUGCAAUUCGUUAGUUUUGCUCGAUGUCUCGUAUUGAAGCUAUGCAGAAUCCGGAGGUCAUUUCGUAUCUGACGCAGCGGGAAGCCGCCGAGGUUGAUGGAUUCUCAUGGGUCCUCUCGGGUUCAGCUUCGACCAAUUGAUGGUAUACAAAUUAUGAAAGUCGUAAAGCACAUAAUCUAGCUGAAAAUCCACGUGAUUCGCUUCUUUUCUUCUGGGAAGGUUUCCAUAGGCAGAUGAAGCAACUUUCACCAAGCCCAUCGUUAGCAGAUAUUGUCUUCUUUGGACUUUCCUUUUCGGGCUUCCCCUUAAGAAGUUUGAUUCCAUAACCAAAAUCCUGGGGAGGAUACAGGCUUAAACCAGAGCAUUUUGAGUUUAGGCAGGGGCAGCCAUCUGGGCUGCAUGACAGGUUGCAAUAUUCCCCUUGCGAGACGGACGGAAAAAAAAGUAUGGAAAGUAGAACGAUUAGCUCCCUGAUUGGCUCCUCCAUUCACGUCAAAGCGGAUAAUAUCUACUAGCGGUGGGCUUGAGCUGUUACACAAAUGCAUACGGACUAGGCAGAGGUGCAUAACUCCACCCUAAACAACCUUUUAUUUCUUGCAUAUUGAUGGCUUACUCCUUGCAUUACGCUCAGGACUAUUUUGUCCACCUCGAGGUCAACUUCGGGAGACCUCGUAGAUUUUUAAUGAUUCUUUCUACAUAAGGGUUAGAGACAAGGUGUGAACUCUAGCCUUGGAAGGAUUUGUAUUUAUUUAGUCUCUGAACUUUUAUUGUCUAUUAGACAACUUUAAAAGUUAAAAAGACUACGAAGACACAAACUUCACCACCCCGGAACCAUUUUUUAUCUCUUUUUCCUUACAGGAUGAAUGUAAUGAGUGCAAUAAAAGUUGGAUGGGGACACAUUUGCUUAGCAAGAUAAUGCCAUUGAUGAAUGUAAGGCUUUAGUCCAUUUUGCUUUUUGAAAGUGUUUGGAAUAUUAGAGAAUGGUCGUAGCUCAUUGAUAGGAUUUCAUUGAAUAGGGAAAGCCUUGGGCAUCAAA